GAUUCUAAAAAUAUUUUCUUUCUUUGAGAGAUGCUGAAAGCGUGGUGUUUCUCAGAGAGGCAGGGGUGAGCAUUCACGGGCGAUUUAUAGAGAUUGUUUUGUUUCCCUGAGCAUAUUGUGCUUGUGUGAUGGACGCAGUGCUCGGGAUUAAUUUUAAUCCCUUAUAUUUCAAACUUUGGACAAGAAAAUCCUCUAGGUAGUUUGUUAUGGUUGUGGAGCGGACCGGCUUAAUGUAGACGGCCACUGGGCAAAUCAAAUGAACUCCUUUGGUCUGUGGCCAAAAGACCCUUCUUAUUCUCUAUGAGAAUGGCUGAGUGGGGCCGUGUGUGGCACUGUCACCACGAGGACAGCAGCAUAGUGACACGGCCAGGCAGAGAGGCAUCCAGCAUUUUGCUUUGUACCUUCUUGUGUUCUCGUUCAACUCGGAAGAGAACUAUAGCCUAUAGGUUUUCUACUGAUGGCUUUGGGAGCUAAGGGUCUUUUGAUAUAGUUAAGUACUUUCUGUGUACAAAACCACAGGUACAGGUUUUGACGUUGCUAUUGGGAGGAUUGGUGUCAAACAUAUCUUUAUUAUAACUACUUGGGUAGUGUUAUUAUUACUAUUACUGUUAUCAUUAUUAUUAGGGUUUUUUUUGUUUUGAUUUUUCAGGCUGUGUUGUAUAAAAACAAAACAAAAUCAAACAAAACAAAUUCUUCCUGGACCAUGCCCUUCAGGUCUAAACAGCAGUGUUGGUCUAAAUUCUGGUGAACUCUAAAAAGACAAAGAUACCAUAGUUGUCUUAGUCAGGGUUACUAUUCCUGCACAAAACAUCAUGACCAAGAAGCAAGUUGGGGAAGAAAUGGUUUAUUUAGCUUACACUUCCAAACGAAGUCAGGACAGGAACUCACACAGGGUAGGAACUUGGUCACAGGAGUGGAUGUAGAAGCUGUGGAGGGGUGCUGCUUCCUGGCUUGCUUCCCCUGACUUGUUCAGCUUGCCUUCUUAUAGAACCCAGGACCACCAGCCCAGGGAUGGCACCUCUCACAAUGGGCCCUCCCACCUUGACCACUAAUUGAGAAAAUACCUCACAGCUGGAUCUCAUGGAAGCAUUUCCUCAACUGAGGCUCCUUUCUCUGUGAUAACCACAGCCUGUGUCAAGUUGAUACACAAAACUAGCCAGUUAAAGUGUAAAAGUGGUUGAGAUGAGGAGGCUCUGGCCCUCUCCACCGUCUGCCUUUAAACUACUUCUGAGCUAAGGCUCUUUCCCACCUGGCGUGCCUCGUGACCUUCUACUUUGUAAAUUAGGACGAGCUAAUAAUUUUUGAAUCAGAGGCUGCAUGAGGAAGGAAUACCAAGUGGGACUCAAAUGUGUCACUUAUCUUGGACAGAAGGUGCUCCUGCCUUCAAAGUAAUUAAAGUUGAAUAAAUUGAGCCAUGAUAAUAAAAGGGAAAGCUACUGUUAAUAUAAAGGAUUUCCUUCUUGUACUCAUUCUGCAGAGUAGUGAGCAGAUUGGAUAUCCCCAGAGAUGGAAUAUGUUACAGGAUUCCAAUUAUGAGGAAAAUAUUAAAAGAACUUAUAAAGCAAUGGGAAGAAUGCAUUUAAUUUUUUUCUUGUCUUAACGUGUUUUUUUAUUCGCUUCUUUUUUUUUUCUUUUUUUAUUCUUUUUUUUAGUUCUCUUCAGUUGCAUGGACCCAAGCAAUUGCUCCAAGUAACAAGAAGGGGCUUCAUUCAAAAUUCUGCUUCCUUGAAUUUUACAGUCUGAUUAUGUAAGCUUAAUACAAGGAAAAGGAAAAUUUCCCUAUGUCCUCUGUUAGUCCAUUCAUUAGUACCAUAGUGAAAUACAUGAGGCAAGAUGUUUUAUAAAGAAAAGAUUUAUUUUGUCCCCUUGUUCUUUUUUUUUUAAAGAUUUAUUUAUUCAUUUUAUGUAUAUGAGUGCACUGUAGCUGUUUUCAGACACACUAGAAGAGGGCAUAGGAUUUCAUUCAGUUGGUUGUGAACCACCAUGUGGUUGCUGGGAAUUGAACUCAGGACCUCUGGAAGAGCAGGCAGUGCUCCUAACCGCUGAGCCAUCUCUCCAGCCUGACCCCUGGUUCUUGAGAUAUGAGAUCAACACUCAACACCUGGUGAUGCCUUUCUACUAGCCGAACCUCUGAUGUCCUUCAAGACUUCACAAGGCAAGAGUUAGGGACUGUGUGUAUCUGUGUAUUCGGUUCUCUUUCCCCCGUGUUCUAAAAAAGCCGCCAGUAUUUGAUCCUUUGGGCUCCACCCCCACAGCCUGACCUAUUCCUCAUUGGGUUCCAAUAUAGAUAAAACUACAGCAAUCGAGCGCUAGGGGGCGUCAUACUCAAGCCGUGCCAUAUUAUAUGCUCUGGUACCUGUCUGAGCUGGCAGAUAGCUCCCUGGAAUCCCUUGGGCUCCAUUGGCGACAAGGGUCUACAGCAAGUGGAGUUCCGGGCUGCAGGCUGGCGCUGCUGUCCUGUCCCUCCCUCCCCUGUAACAUCAGCAGUAGAAGCAAAAAGCUAUUCUGCAUUCUUUCAGAUGCCCCAGCAAGCUAGUCAUUGCUGACCCUGGAAAUAUAAAUUAGCGGCAGGCAGCGUUGCCGUUCUUGAAAUUAGAGGGCCAAAAAGAAUAGAGGAAAGAAACCUAGGCACGCCGGGGAAUUGUCCUUAAUUUGAUGACAGCAGCGAUAAGUGCACCUAUGAAAUGCUCUUUGGAAGAGGGAUUUGCAAGUUAAUUAUUAAAGACAAGCCUUUGGGGGGUUUCCUUGGAACUUACAAGUAACGGCUGCCUCCAUGCUGGAGGCUCGACUCUUUGAGCACUCUCUGCUCUACUUCAUGGUGUAAUUAUAUAAUUGCAGGUGUGUUUUCUUCUG
RNAcentral lists this long non-coding RNA (2853 nucleotides) under Mus musculus (house mouse). RNAcentral's name for it is "long non-coding RNA chr10:69605502-69608355". Lineage: Eukaryota; Metazoa; Chordata; Mammalia; Rodentia; Muridae. The record is from RNAcentral.